GAUUUUAAACAAUAAAAAUCCAAAUUUUUAAAUUUUAUAAUGAAUGUAAUUUUUAAGUUAAUCUUCUUUUUAAUACUACAUUACCUCUUAGUAGACAAGAAAAUAUAUAAGGAGUCAGGUCAAUUCAACACCCACUAGCAAUUCCUAAAGAUUCCAAGGCAUUCAUGCUGGGGUUUUGUUUUUGGUAUUCCAAGGCAUUCAUGCUGGGUUACUAGGUAGCUGGAGGUGAAAUGGCUGCAUACAACUUCCCUAACAAAAUUAUAGGUAACUAAUAUAAUCUCAUGCAUGAAGCCAAGUCACUAAGAAAUUAGGUAACGAUUUAGAAGAGCUGCUAAAAAAGGUAAGAGAAUAUUAAAUACACAGAGUACAAAAAAAUAUAUAUAUUUUCUAGGAGUCUUUCCAUAAAUUACGAGAGAUGAAUAUCACAUUAAUAUGAGUGAGAGUAUUAAUCUGAAUGUAUUUAAUAAUAUCUCAGAAAGAGUAUGCUUGGCCCAGCGCAUCCUUUCAUGCAUUGCUCCUAUCUCCAAAGAAUGUUUUUUGUCCCUAAGACUUUCAUAAAUAUAUUAGUGUUGGUCAGAAAUGAAUCUAGCAGUCUUCACACUAAAUGGAAAAAUCUAAGUAUAGAAAAUCAGCUCUUUUUCUUUCUCAUAGACAUAGCAAAUAAUCUCCACUGCAUGUCAACGAUAAUUUCAUUCCAUGUUGGAAACAGAGAACUACUGGGUAAGUCAUGGUGUUGGACAUUAGGGUGUCCUUUUUUUUUCUUUUUUGGAAUUAUCAUGAUGCCUAUACAAUAAUUCCAGUGAUUUGGCAAAGCAGUAACCUUCGCAUCUGGUUCCUCUGCUGGACGCUUCCCCUUCCCAAUAAAUUUAUUAAAUAAUAAGGUCUCUACUGAGGCAGGAUGGUUAAAAUAUUAGAUCAAUAAAUUAAUACUUUGUUGGUUUGCUUAAGAAAGCUGAACUCUGUUGGUACCAGAUAUUUCCCAGCUCUCUCAUAUAAUCACAUGUGAGAAUUUCCCAUUUGUAGGAACCAGAACAAACUUCAAACUCAACAUUGAUUUUACAAUAUAGAUCAUUUCACUAAAAGAAACCCUCUCUUCAGGGUUUCCAUAGAAUCAAGAAAUGAAGAUUGGAGCCGUGUCACUGGUGGCCAUAGUCCAUAUAGAUAUCUCCUUGUCAGCCCCAAAAUCACAAUAUUUUCAAUUACCCAAGAUAGAAAAACCAUCAAAAUUGACAUCUUUUGCAUGAGCUCAAAUGUAUUUGCAUCAUUAUAUCCAAAAUUCAGAUUCGAACUCUGAACCAGAAACCGCAGGAACUGAAAUUUGAGACCAGAGACGCAACCUUUUUUAGUGUCACAAACAACCUCAAAGUAUUGACAUAGAUCCACGAAGUGCCUAACAGCCACUCAAAAAGCCACCAUCAAAACUUUCUUAAAUUUCCCCAAAAUCCUCUGUCGGUGUAUUCACCUCCACUCAAUCUCCAAACAGCUACAAAAAGUGCCCCAACUGCUAACUUAUUGAAAGCCCAAAUCCAUUUCAAGUAACGCAAGAAAUCCCAAAUUCAUACACCAAUUAAGCUCCAAUCCGCUUCAAUUGACUAACCAUGUCAUGAAUUUGAAUCAGGCACUAAAUUGAUAAGCUUUAGAAAGAGUAGCAAUAUAUUGAUAAAAUAGAAUUGAGUUUUGUGCUUAGAAUUUGGAAGAGGAAGGCUUAAAUAUAAAUAAAAAGAAAGAUCACAGGGUAACUAAUAGCAUACCAUGAAGUGAUCAAGCUCCUUAUCAUCAGCUAUGCCCUGAGUCCCGCCGCCGAGGGCGGAGUAUUUAGCCACUACGUGCUGUGACUGGGCGAGCUGGGCGUCAAUUCUUGGCAACUGAUCCACCGGAGUGGCGAUUCGCAAACACGCCACGUGUGCCGACAACAACUGGUCAUACAACGGGUGAGACAGUAUCUCCGCCU
Molecule: unclassified non-coding RNA, 1951 nt
Filed under: Hevea brasiliensis (rubber tree)
Lineage: Eukaryota; Viridiplantae; Streptophyta; Magnoliopsida; Malpighiales; Euphorbiaceae
Source: RNAcentral